GACGAACGCUGGCGGCGUGCUUAACACAUGCAAGUCGAGCGGUAAGGCCCUUUCGGGGGUACACGAGCGGCGAACGGGUGAGUAACACGUGGUGACCUGCCCUCAGCUCUGGGAUAAGCCUGGGAAACCGGGUCUAAUACCGGAUAUGACUCCAUGACGCAUGUUGUGGGGUGGAAAGCCUUGUGCGGCUGAGGAUGGGCCCGCGGCCUAUCAGCUUGUUGGUGGGGUGAU
Molecule: ribosomal RNA, 231 nt
Filed under: uncultured bacterium
Lineage: Bacteria
Description: partial 16S ribosomal RNA
Rfam family: Bacterial small subunit ribosomal RNA
Source: RNAcentral